RNAcentral lists this ribosomal RNA (462 nucleotides) under Triticum aestivum (bread wheat). RNAcentral describes it as "partial small subunit ribosomal RNA". Lineage: Eukaryota; Viridiplantae; Streptophyta; Magnoliopsida; Poales; Poaceae. The record is from RNAcentral.
AUGGCGACCCCCGAGGCGAUGAUGCCGCCGAUGUUCAUCAGGCCGAGGAUGAUGGCGCCCAUCAGCGCGGCGUCGCUACCGAACCCUAUGGUCCGGAAGAGUAUCGGCGAGAAGAAGGCCGACACGGUCACGCCGGUGAGGUUCAGGAACACGGGGAACGCCACCGCCAUCACCAGGUACGGCCGGUACUCCCGCCGCAGGAUCCGCCGGAACGCGCCCUCCUGGUUCCGCCGGUCGUGCUCCACGGCGGCGAGUAUGUCGCUGAACUCCGCGUCGACGUCCACGCCCUUGCCGCGGACGCGCUGGAGCGCGGCGCGGGCGUGGUCGUGCUUCCCGCGCAGGACGAGGCUGCUCGGGGUGUCCGUGAUGAGCACGGCGCCCAGCACCAUGACGGCGGCGGGGACAGCCGCGAGGCCGAGGGACAGGCGCCAGCCCCAUUCCGGAAUCCGCGACGUGCCGUAG